UNCCAUGUGUAGCGGUGAAAUGCGUAGAUAUAUGGAGGAACNCCAGUGGCGAAAGCGGCUCUCUGGUCUGUCACUGACGCUGAGGCUNGAAAGCGUGGGUAGCGAACAGGAUUAGAUACCCUGGUAGUCCACGCCGUAAACGAUGAGUGCUAGGUGUUAGGCCCUUUCCGGGGCUUAGUGCCGGAGCUAACGCAAUAAGCACUCCGCCUGGGGAGUACGACCGCAAGGUUGAAACUCAAAGGAAUUGACGGGGGCCCGCACAAGCGGUGGAGCAUGUGGUUUAAUUCGAAGCAACGCGAAGAACCUUACCAGGUCUUGACAUCCCGAUGCUAUUCUUAGAGAUAGGAAGUUACUUCGGUACAUCGGAGACAGGUGGUGCAUGGUUGUCGUCAGCUCGUGUCGUGAGAUGUUGGGUUAAGUCCCGCAACGAGCGCAACCCUUAUUGUUAGUUGCCAUCAUUAAGUUGGGCACUCUAGCGAGACUGCCGGUAAUAAACCGGAGGAAGGUGGGGAUGACGUCAAAUCAUCAUGCCCCUUAUGACCUGGGCUACACACGUGCUACAAUGGUCGGUACAACGAGUUGCGAGCCGGUGACGGCAAGCUAAUCUCUGAAAGCCGAUCUCAGUUCGGAUUGGAGGCUGCAACUCGCCUCCAUGAAGUCGGAAUCGCUAGUAAUCGCGGAUCAGCACGCCGCGGUGAAUACGUUCCCGGGCCUUGUACACACCGCCCGUCACACCACGAGAGUUUGUAACACCCGAAGUCGGUGAGGUANCCUUUUAGGG
This 781-nucleotide ribosomal RNA is filed under the name uncultured bacterium. RNAcentral's name for it is "bacterial SSU rRNA". It matches the Rfam family "Bacterial small subunit ribosomal RNA", at positions 667 to 1447 of the family's 1533-position model. The record is from RNAcentral.